RNAcentral lists this long non-coding RNA (3433 nucleotides) under Sus scrofa (pig). RNAcentral describes it as "lncRNA (ENSSSCG00000054631.1)". Lineage: Eukaryota; Metazoa; Chordata; Mammalia; Artiodactyla; Suidae. The record is from RNAcentral.
ACAAGAAACAACAUUUUGAACAACAAAUAAGGUAGCUAAUUAAAAUAUCCUUAAAUAAAUUUUAUAUUGUGAGCAUUGCUGCUUGAGGUAUGAUAGUAAUUACAAAACUCAGAUCAGCAUUUCUAAAAAUAUAUUCUCCUAGUGUAGUAAAUUGAUGAGAAAGUCAUACUGCUUUAGUGGUCUGCAGAAUAUAUGUGUUCAUAUAUAAUAAAUUUAGUUGCCUAAUGUGAAAGUUGCUGAUAGAGAGUUAACUAAGUGUUUGUAGUAAUAAAAAUCACUAUUAGGUGAGGAGUAGCAGGAAACUCUUCUAUGUAAUAUGUGAAAUACUGUUUAGGUAUUCUCUCUCUUAUGCUAAGCAACCACCACGGUCACAGUUUAUUCCAGCCUAAACUGGAAGUCUUCCAGAGAACAUUAAUGCUUGUAUUAAUGUAAAUUUUGCUUGCUAACAUUUUUCUCUGUGACAGUUUCAUAUUCAAAAUUGUAUAUGCAUGGCCCUCUAUGCAUAUAAUUUUAUGAUUAUGUUAUAAAGUGUAAUGAUUGUAAUUUUAUACCUGGAAAAGUCAUCAGUGAUGCUAAUAACUUUAAUAAAUUAAAUCAUUAAUAUUAAUUAUUCAAAGGCAUACAGAAUACAUUGAUUCAGAACACCUGGGUUUAGAAUUCUGUCAGCUUCAUUAGAGAUGAUCUCCUUUUCAUUUGCUUUAUCACCACUAAUCUAAGAAAAAAAAUAAAUCCUAAUCUCAUUAAAAAAUUAUGAAAUAUAGUAUAUAUGGGGGUGGUGUUUUUGCCUGGAGCUAAAAAUCAAAGGCAUGCUCUUAGCAAACUUAAAGGAUGUACAGAUAACUGAUAAAAAACAUAAAUCAAAACUUUAGUUAAUGGUAAAUUGUUGUAAAUAUUAGCUCUGAGUGUUCUGGCUAAAUAUGGAUUUACUAUAUGUAAUUACAUAUUUGUGAAAAUAGUUUAUUAGGACUCAAUCCCCAAUUAAAAUAUCAGAAAACAAUAAUUUUACCUGUUUUAAAAACUAUUCUAUCCUCAGAGACUAACAAAGGGCCUGAUACACUGUACUUACUCAAUAUUUAUUAAGUAAAAUGAUAUGAAAAUAUAUAUAAAUUUUACUGGGCCAUUAUAUUGUAUUAAAUACAAGUGUUUUCAGUAUCUUAAUUUGAAAUUCUGAUCCAAUAUUACAGAUGAAAAAAUUGAGCUUAGUGAUGUAAAGCCGUAUUUCCAAGAUCAAACAAGUGGCUGAGCCUGCAUUCAAUAAAAAUUUUGAGUAAAAUAAUAGUAAUAAUUUAUACCGUGAUAAUAAUAGUAGCUAAAACAUAGUGCUUACUAAGUGCCAGACCUUUUCUAAGCCCUUACCCAUAUCAAUGCUUUUAAUCUAUCUCAGAGGGUGUUAUAACCCUCUGAGAUAGAUGUCCUAUAACACUUAUUUUACCAGAAGAGAAAAUGAGGCAUAGGGAGCAGUUAUGGUAAGUAACCUCCACGUAGUCACUCAGGUAGGGAGUUGAAGAGCUAGGACUGUAAAGCCAGUCUGCCUUGAGUGUCUUUCUUUUAGACAUUAAACUUCACAGUUUUUCAGGGUGGACCAUUUUGGUUUAUGAAACAGCCUGGUCCCUGUGUGAAUCUACUCUAAAGAAUUACUGGUCGUGGAGUAAAUAAAAUACUCUAGAAUUGCAGAUCCAUUUAUCCAGCAAACAUUUGUGAAGUUUAAACCACAUGAUGAGAUUGGGAUAUGCAGACCACAAAUUUUACCGAAAUUCAGGGUCCCACAGGAAAUUUUUGUUAUGUAUUUAAUGUUAGGUAAUGUUUCUAAAGUAGCAGAGUAGAGUGAAAUGAAGACCAAGCUGUAAGAAAAACUGUCUUAGUUUCUAAUCCCUAUGUGCAGUAUCAAUAGCCAUUGAAUAGUCAUUUAGUUAAUCUGAACCUCAGACUCUUUAUGUGUUAAAUAGAGAUUAUAAACUGCUGAUUUGUUUGCUUAAUGAGCUAUUAGAAUGGUUGAUUGAUGCAGUGUUUGUGGAAAAGGCUCUGUACAACAUAACGCUAUGCAAAUUUUCAGUAACAUUUUAAUUAUUAAUUUACAGUUGGUCACCAAUGUUCAAAGAAAUCUAGUCUCACAGGAAUCCACUAGCCCAGCAACUGAUGGUACGCUCUUCUACUUUCUGUAACUCAUCAGAUAGUAAAAAAUCCAUCUUUUCUUCGCUUCUAAACCAUGUAUUGGUGUUGGAAGAAUUAAAUGUGCGUGAAACACUCCUGGCCUGGUAAACAAUUGCACAGGGUUUUGCUGUCUACAUAUCUUUGCUAGGUUCUGAUGUGAGGAAAUGCUACAUAAUGGGGAGAUCAGUGGGUAUACAGUUCCUUUAGUUUCUCUUUUGGAUACAUUUUCAUUCUGUUAAUUUCUUCUUCAUUUUGCUUUCUCCAUAUCCUUUUUCUUUCCUUGCUUUGGUGUGUUUUGAAUAAGAAUCUGGAAUUUGUCUCAUGAAAGCUGAGUUGACCCAAAACUUGUGUGUUUUAUCUCUACUUCAUUUAUUUAGCUAUUCAUGGAACAUUGGCUAUGUACUUGGCUCUUUGUUAUGUGUAGGGGUAAAGAUAUGAAUAUUUAAUGUAACUUUGUAAACAACAAAAGUAGAAUCAAUCCUCAUGGUUGACUCUACCUGUGCAGGAAAAGAGUAAGAAAGGCUUUACCUGGAGGUGGAGCUUGAGCUUGCUUUGGAAGAUGAUGAACUGUUCCUCAGUUGGAAGAGUUCUAGGGAGUAGAAAUAACCAUCCCUAGGGGAGGUUAUAAAACCUUUUGGUGUAUUCAGAGCAAGUGGUUCCCAACAGAUAGAGAAAGGUAAAACUCAACCAAAAAUUAAGUUGGAAAUUAAGCAAGGGCAUGACUAUGAAGACAUGAAGACUCGGGACAUGGGACAUUACUCCCUCCCCUGUCUUCAUCUUUACUGUGUUGAUCUGUUCAUCUGUGGUCUUCACGUCUAAAAUUUGACAGAAUUUUGAAGAAAUUCAAAUUUUUUUCUUUUUCCUUUUUUUUAAGGGCCACACUCAUGGCAUAUGGAGGUUCCCGGGGUAGGGGUCGAAUUGAAGCUGUAGCUGCUGGUCUACGCCACAACCACCCCAACACAGGAUCUGAGCCACAUCUGCAAUUUACACCACAAUUCCUGGCAACACUGGAUCCUUAACCCACUGAGCAAGGCCAGGGAUUGAACCUGUGUCCUCAUGGAUGCUAGUCAGAAUUGUUAACUGCUGAGCCAUGACAGGAACUCCAGAAAUUUUGAAGAAAGCAAUACAUUUUGUUUUUUCUAUUACCACUAAAAAUAAGUGUGACAUUCAUAUAGUAAAAAAAAUAGUAAAAACUGCUGGCAGCUGUACUUAUCCUUUGACUAAAGUAUUUCUUAAUGUUUGCACAUUUUUUUACAAUUUCACCUACAUCGUAAAACUAGUU